GUAAUACUUGAAUAACUUGCCUUUUACCUGGGGAUAACGGCUGGAAACGGCCGCUAAUACCGAAUGAAGUGCUAUAGGGGAUCUUAUAGCAUAAAAGUAGGGGAUACCGAAAGGUGCCUGGCGGUAAAAGAGAGGUUCAAGAGAUAUCAGCUAGUUGGUGAGGUAAGAGCUCACCAAGGCAAAGACGUCUAGGCGGACUGAGAGGUUGACCGCCAACAUUGGGACUGAGACACUGCCCAGACUCCUACGGGAGGCUGCAGUCGAGAAUCUUUUGCAAUGGGCGAAAGCCUGACAAAGCGACGCCGUGUGAGUGAUGAAGGCCUUCGGGUUGUAAAGCUCUUUCGCUUGGGAACAAGAGUAAGGAGGGAAUAUCUUUUUACUUUGAGGGUACCAGGUAAAGAAGCACUGGCUAACUCCGUGCCAGCAGCUGCGGUAAUACGGAGGGUGCAAGCAUUAAUCGGAUUUAUUGGGCGUAAAGGGCGCGUAGGCGGUAAUGCAAGUCAGAUGUGAAAUUCCGAGAGCUUAACUCCGGAGCUGCAUAUGAAACUGCAAUACUAGAGGGUUGACGGAGAAAAUGGAAUUCCAUGUGUAGCGGUGAAAUGCGUAGAUAUAUGGAAGAACACCGGUGGCGAAAGCGGUUUUCUAGUUAAUACCUGACGCUGAGGCGCGAGAGCAAGGGGAGCAAACAGGAUUAGAUACCCUGGUAGUCCUUGCCGUAAACGAUGUGUACUUGAUGUAGUUGGGCUCAACCCUGACUGUGUCGAAGCUAACGCGAUAAGUACACCGCCUGAGGAGUACGCUCGCAAGGGUGAAACUCAAAAGAAUUGACGGGGGCCCGCACAAGCAGUGGAGCAUGUGGUUUAAUUCGAUGCCACGCGAAGAACCUUACCCAGGUUGGAAAUGUAUAGGACGUUAUCAGAAAUGGUAAUUCCCGCAAGGGCUUAUACACAGGUGCUGCAUGGCUGUCGUCAGCUCGUGCCGUGAGGUGUUGGGUUAAGUCCCGCAACGAGCGCAACCCUUAUCGUUAGUUGCCAACAGGUCAAGCUGGGAACUCUAACGAGACUGCCUAGGUUAACUAGGAGGAAGGUGAGGAUGACGUCAAGUCCGCAUGGCCUUUAUAUCUGGGGCUACACACGUGCUACAAUGGUCGAUACAGAAGGUAGCAAGACCGCAAGGUGGAGCAAAUCCCUAAAAUCGAUCUCAGUUCAGAUUGUAGUCUGCAACUUGACUACAUGAAGUUGGAAUUGCUAGUAAUGGCGUGUCAGCAACAACGCCGUGAAUACGUUCCCGGGCCUUGUACACACCGCCCGUCACAUCAUGGGAGUUGGUUUUACCCGAAGUCACUGACUUAACCGCAAGGGGAGAGGUGCCGAAGGUAAGGCCGAUGACUGGGAUGAAGUCGGAACAAGGUA
Molecule: ribosomal RNA, 1412 nt
Filed under: metagenome
Description: bacterial SSU rRNA
Rfam family: Bacterial small subunit ribosomal RNA
Source: RNAcentral